GCCGGGCGUGGUGGUGCGCGCCUGUAAUCCCAGCUACUCAGGAGGCUGAGGCAGGAGAAUUGCUUGAACCCGGGAGGCGGAGAUUGCAGUGAGCUGAGAUCACGCCAUUGGAUUCCAGCCUGGGUGAAAGAGCAAGACUGUGUCUCAA
Molecule: non-coding RNA, 148 nt
Filed under: Nomascus leucogenys (northern white-cheeked gibbon)
Lineage: Eukaryota; Metazoa; Chordata; Mammalia; Primates; Hylobatidae
Source: Rfam by way of RNAcentral